GGGGGUGUAGCUCAGUGGUGGAGCCCUUGCCUAGCAAGCACAAGGUCCUGGGUUCAAUCCCCAACACCACAA
RNAcentral lists this transfer RNA (72 nucleotides) under Marmota marmota marmota (Alpine marmot). It matches the Rfam family "tRNA". Rfam says of the family: Transfer RNA (tRNA) molecules are approximately 80 nucleotides in length. Their secondary structure includes four short double-helical elements and three loops (D, anti-codon, and T loops). The record is from Rfam by way of RNAcentral. RNAcentral also lists the same sequence under 4 other names. Lineage: Eukaryota; Metazoa; Chordata; Mammalia; Rodentia; Sciuridae.